AUAACUAGAUAUUAACCCGCGGUAUACCGCGGGCCUAUAUUUUCAUUAAAUAAAAAAUAAUUGAUUUUUUUUAGGAUGAUUUAUAAAUUUAUGCUAUUGUUUGAUUUAAAUGUAUGAUACACCGCGAGAAAAAAAAUUCUAACUCAAAUUUUAAAGUUUUAAGUUGUAUUUUUUUUAUUUUGUUAAGUGUUUAAUAUUGUAUAUAAAAAUUGUAUUUUGAUUAUUGUUUCUCGGAUUUCACCGUACUACACCAUCCUAUAUUAAUAUCGACUCAAACCCGUCGAUUCUAGGAUUUCACCCGUGGUAGUAUUUAAUUGUAUAAUUAUAUUUUGAUUGUCAUUCUAGGAUUUCACUCCUAGUUCUAUUGCAAAUUAUUAUCAACCCAAACCAGUCAAUUCUAAAAUUUCACCCGUAGUAUAAAGUUUAAAUAUUUAUUAUAUUUAAACUUCUUAUAAAAGAAUCGAAAUGUGUUUU
RNAcentral lists this small RNA (474 nucleotides) under Arabidopsis thaliana (thale cress). RNAcentral describes it as "ATSL175420". Lineage: Eukaryota; Viridiplantae; Streptophyta; Magnoliopsida; Brassicales; Brassicaceae. The record is from RNAcentral.